Mauremys mutica (yellowpond turtle) is the source of this 916-nucleotide long non-coding RNA. RefSeq lists it as uncharacterized. Lineage: Eukaryota; Metazoa; Chordata; Testudines; Geoemydidae. The transcript is spliced from 5 exons. The record is from RefSeq and is a predicted model, not a curated record.
CUGAAUCCUCCUGGGAGAACCUAGCUAAAGAUUCUACAUCAUCCACAUCAGACCAAUCACUUCCCACGGAGGGAUCCUUUUCCAGCAUAUCUCGCUCUUGGAACUGCAAGUCAAAUGGAAAACAACAUAUACAACCGAAACAAUCUUAACUUUGUGAACAGUAAACUGUAGGCAAUCCAGGAUGACCUAACAGAUCACCUCCAUCUCUAACAUCUAUGAUUUGGUUUCUUUUAUAAAGGAAAGACUGGAAGGAGAAUCCGAUUGGACUACAGAAUUGUAUGGGACUGAACACAAAGAUAAAGGGCAACAAUAUUCAUCUGCAGCUACAACAGGACUUGCAUCUUCAGAGUGCAAUGCAGCUGGAGAUGGAAUCAUACGGAAUUCAGCAGAGAACUUUCCUUAAGAAACAAAAACCCAUCAUAUCAUCUAGGAUAUGGAGUGCAAUGGAGAAUGUGGAAUACGAUUAUAUGAAACUAGGGUUUCCUCCUCUCCGUUCACAUGUGUUGAUAUGAAGGAGUAUCAAUUGGUUUCUUGGGAGACAAAGUAGGAGGAAUACCCUUGGGAAGAUCAGGGAUCCAGACCAAGGAUCACAGGACUUGGGUACACCACAAGCUGGGAAGCUUUUUCUGAUGAUGUUAAACUUUCUUUUGUUCCUAUUUAUAAACACUAAACUCUGCAGAAAAGAUCUUGUAGACUGCAACUGGGUUUUUCCCAAUAGCCAUUCCAUCGAAUUAUGUGAUCCAAAUGGGAGUCGCAUGUAUACGUUUCAGGGCAGAAUUUGGCUUUCUUGCAUUGGUUAUUAUUGAAUGGAUAUUAAAUGUCCAGCUGAGCUGAGUGUCUUAUGUUUGAAAAACUUGAUCAGAUAUAUGAGAAAUAACUAUGUGCACAGAAUAUAACCCAAUAUCUACAAACUGUA